UAGUUCGAUUAUGGCUCAGGAUGAACGCUGGCGGCAUGCCUAAUACAUGCAAGUCGAACGGAGUGAAGCCUUCGGGUUUCAUUCAGCGGCGAACGGGUGAGUAAUACGCAGGGAACCUGGCCAUGGCAGGGGGAUACACUCUGGAAACGGAGCAUAAGACCCCAUAGGCAGUAAGGCGGCAUCGCCUUACUGUUAAAGAAAGCUGAAAGGCUUUGGCGAUGGAUGGACCUGCGGUGCAUUAGCUUGUUGGUGAGGCAACGGCUUACCAAGGCGAUGAUGCAUAGCCGGCCUGAGAGGGCGGACGGCCACACUGGGACUGAGACACGGCCCGGACUCCUGCGGGAGGCAGCAGUAGGGAAUUUUCGUCAAUGGGCGCAAGCCUGAACGAGCAAUGCCGCGUGAGUGAGGAAGGUCUUCGGACUGUAAAGCUCUGUUGCCGGGGAAAAAGGGGAAAUGCAGGAAAUGGCAUUUCAUGGAUGGUACCCGGCCAGAAAGCCACGGCUAACUACGUGCCAGCAGCCGCGGUAAUACGUAGGUGGCGAGCGUUAUCCGGAAUGAUUGGGCGUAAAGGGUGCGCAGGCGGUCUGUUAAGUCUGAAGGCAAAGGGAUGAGCUCAACUCAUUUAUGAUUCAGAAACUGGCAGACUUGAGGACAGGAGAGGGCGGUGGAACUCCAUGUGUAGCGGUAAAAUGCGCAGAGAUAUGGAAGAACACCAGUGGCGAAGGCGGCCGCCUGGCCUGUGACUGACGCUGAGGCACGAAAGCGUGGGGAGCAAAUAGGAUUAGAUACCCUAGUAGUCCACGCCGUAAACGAUGAGGAGCAGGUGUUGGGAGUGAAAUCUCAGUGCCGAAGCCAACGCAGUGACUCCUCCGCCUGGGGAGUAUGCACGCAAGUGUGAAACUCAAAGGAAUUGACGGGGGCCCGCACAAGCGGUGGAGUAUGUGGUUUAAUUCGAAGCAACGCGAAGAACCUUACCAGGUUUUGACAUCGGAUGCGAAGGCGCAGAGAUGCGCUGGAGGCUAUCAUCCAGACAGGUGGUGCAUGGUAGUCGUCAGCUCGUGUCGUGAGAUGUUCAGUUAAGUCUGGCAACGAGCGCAACCCCCGUGGUAUGUUACUAACGCAUUUGGGCGAGGACUCAUAUCAGACUGCCGGUGACAAACCGGAGGAAGGCGGGGAUGACGUCAAAUCAUCAUGCCCCUUAUGACCUGGGCUACACACGUACUACAAUGGCGUCUACAGAGGGAAGCGACCCUGAGAAGGGAAGCGAAACCGGAAAAGGGCGUCCCAGUUCGGAUUGAAGUCUGCAACCCGACUUCAUGAAGAUGGAAUCGCUAGUAAUCGCGGAUCAGCAUGCCGCGGUGAAUACGUUCCCGGGCCUUGUACACACCGCCCGUCAAACCAUGGAAGCCGGCAACGCCCGAAGCCGGUGGCAUAACCUUUUAGGAGUGAGCCGUCGAAGGCGGGGCCGAUGACUGGGGUUAAGUCGUAACAAGGUACCC
Molecule: ribosomal RNA, 1499 nt
Filed under: uncultured bacterium
Lineage: Bacteria
Description: bacterial SSU rRNA
Rfam family: Bacterial small subunit ribosomal RNA
Source: RNAcentral